RNAcentral lists this ribosomal RNA (253 nucleotides) under uncultured bacterium. Its description in RNAcentral is "partial 16S ribosomal RNA". It matches the Rfam family "Bacterial small subunit ribosomal RNA", at positions 524 to 776 of the family's 1533-position model. The record is from RNAcentral.
UACGGAGGGUGCGAGCGUUGUCCGGAAUCACUGGGCGUAAAGGGCGCGUAGGCGGCCCUCCUUGUCGCGUGUGAAAGCCCCGGGCUCAACCUGGGAACGGCGCGCGAGACGGGGGGGCUGGAGUUCGGGAGAGGAGCGUGGAAUUCCCAGUGUAGAGGUGAAAUUCGUAGAUAUUGGGAAGAACACCGGUGGCGAAGGCGGCGCUCUGGACCGAGACUGACGCUGAGGCGCGAAAGCGUGGGGAGCAAACAGG